RNAcentral lists this long non-coding RNA (356 nucleotides) under Aotus nancymaae (Ma's night monkey). RNAcentral's name for it is "lncRNA (ENSANAG00000038780.1)". The record is from RNAcentral. Lineage: Eukaryota; Metazoa; Chordata; Mammalia; Primates; Aotidae.
GGUGUAACAGGGGCCGUGGAGCUGGGAUCUGCACACUGGGCUGUGCUGCUUGCAGAUGAGAAGAAUGAUGAGAACAGAGAGAAUCCAGUCCUGAGCAUGGUUUACCUGGGUUUUGGGCAGGUUACUGUGCCAUGCCUUUAUUCCACUCAUCAGCCUUCACAGGGAGAUGACAGGGAGGUGAGCACCGAGGAAAGACAGUGGCAGCAGAAUCUGGCAAAUACCACUGGUCCUGCAGAUCCCAUGGGAACGUUAUACAUAACGACAGGUUCUUCUGCAAUAGCAAAUGAAUCUUCUCCUUAAGUCUGGGGACAGAGAGAGAGAGAGAGAGAGAGAGCAUCAGAAAUUGAGUACCAGGG